GUCUCAGGGUGUACCCCUUUAGUUAUAAAUGUCUCAGAGUUAUCCUUUAUGGAAGAGUAGUACUCCAUUGUAUUAAAAAAAAAAAAAAAAAAAGGUCCAAAGUGGGUAUCAACUCAAUUUCCGAAUCACAACAUUCCUUUUUUCUUUUUUAAUUUUUAGGUGCCAGGGAUCAAACUCACAACCUUACACUUGCCAGGCAGUGGCCUCACAACAUUCCUUUCAUCAGUUUUCCAAAGGAAGAAGAAUGGAAGAAGGAAAGGAGAAAAGGGCAAACAUUUUUCACUAGAUAAAAUGGAGGGAAACAGCUAGAGUCCUCUCUUCAACGUCCUAGUUGAUACUAUUAUAGAAGGUAGGAAAUGAUGAAUCACUGGAAUAAAUAUCAUUGCGUGUUGAUCACAAGACAGAAAUGUCUCACAGUUUA
RNAcentral lists this long non-coding RNA (421 nucleotides) under Chinchilla lanigera (long-tailed chinchilla). RNAcentral describes it as "lncRNA (ENSCLAG00000027370.1)". The record is from RNAcentral. Lineage: Eukaryota; Metazoa; Chordata; Mammalia; Rodentia; Chinchillidae.